This 851-nucleotide ribosomal RNA is filed under the name Flavobacterium sp. Its description in RNAcentral is "bacterial SSU rRNA". It matches the Rfam family "Bacterial small subunit ribosomal RNA", at positions 60 to 917 of the family's 1533-position model. The record is from RNAcentral. Lineage: Bacteria; Pseudomonadati; Bacteroidota; Flavobacteriia; Flavobacteriales; Flavobacteriaceae.
AGUCGAGGGGUAUAGUUCUUCGGAAUUAGAGACCGGCGCACGGGUGCGUAACGCGUAUGCAAUCUACCUUUUGCAGAGGGAUAGCCCAGAGAAAUUUGGAUUAAUACCUCAUAGUAUAGCAGUUUCGCAUGAAACCACUAUUAAAGUCACAACGGCAAAAGAUGAGCAUGCGUCCCAUUAGCUAGUUGGUAAGGUAACGGCUUACCAAGGCUACGAUGGGUAGGGGUCCUGAGAGGGAGAUCCCCCACACUGGUACUGAGACACGGACCAGACUCCUACGGGAGGCAGCAGUGAGGAAUAUUGGACAAUGGGCGCAAGCCUGAUCCAGCCAUGCCGCGUGCAGGAUGACGGUCCUAUGGAUUGUAAACUGCUUUUGUACAGGAAGAAACACUCCCUCGUGAGGGAGCUUGACGGUACUGUAAGAAUAAGGAUCGGCUAACUCCGUGCCAGCAGCCGCGGUAAUACGGAGGAUCCAAGCGUUAUCCGGAAUCAUUGGGUUUAAAGGGUCCGUAGGCGGUUUAGUAAGUCAGUGGUGAAAGCCCAUCGCUCAACGGUGGAACGGCCAUUGAUACUGCUAGACUUGAAUUAUUAGGAAGUAACUAGAAUAUGUAGUGUAGCGGUGAAAUGCUUAGAGAUUACAUGGAAUACCAAUUGCGAAGGCAGGUUACUACUAAUGGAUUGACGCUGAUGGACGAAAGCGUGGGUAGCGAACAGGAUUAGAUACCCUGGUAGUCCACGCCGUAAACGAUGGAUACUAGCUGUUGGGAGCAAUCUCAGUGGCUAAGCGAAAGUGAUAAGUAUCCCACCUGGGGAGUACGUUCGCAAGAAUGAAACUCAAAGGAAUUGACGGG